This 72-nucleotide transfer RNA is filed under the name Bos taurus (domestic cattle). It matches the Rfam family "tRNA". Rfam says of the family: Transfer RNA (tRNA) molecules are approximately 80 nucleotides in length. Their secondary structure includes four short double-helical elements and three loops (D, anti-codon, and T loops). Further hydrogen bonds mediate the characteristic L-shaped molecular structure. tRNAs have two regions of fundamental functional importance: the anti-codon, which is responsible for specific mRNA codon recognition, and the 3' end, to which the tRNAs corresponding amino acid is attached (by aminoacyl-tRNA synthetases). tRNAs cope with the degeneracy of the genetic code in two manners: having more than one tRNA (with a specific anti-codon) for a particular amino acid; and 'wobble' base-pairing, i.e. permitting non-standard base-pairing at the 3rd anti-codon position. RNAcentral also lists the same sequence under 1 other name. The record is from Rfam by way of RNAcentral. Lineage: Eukaryota; Metazoa; Chordata; Mammalia; Artiodactyla; Bovidae.
UCCCUGGUGGUUCAGAUGGUAAAGUGUCUGCCUGCAAUGCGGGAGACCCAGGUUUGAUUCCUGGGUCGGGAA